UACGUACGAGGCGAGCGUUAUCCGGAAUUACUGGGCGUAAAGCGCGCGCAGGUGGUGCCGUAAGUUGGGCGUGAAAUCUCCCGGCCUAACUGGGAGGGGUCGCCCAAGACUGCGGGACUUGAGGCUGGCAGAGGUAGGUGGAAUUCCUGGUGUAGUGGUGAAAUGCGUAGAGAUCAGGAGGAACACCGGUGGCGAAGGCGGCCUACUGGGCCAGCACUGACGCUGAGGCGCGAAAGCUCGGGGAGCGAACGGG
This 253-nucleotide ribosomal RNA is filed under the name uncultured bacterium. RNAcentral describes it as "partial 16S ribosomal RNA". It matches the Rfam family "Bacterial small subunit ribosomal RNA", at positions 524 to 776 of the family's 1533-position model. The record is from RNAcentral.